AAUGAUGUGCCUGAAAAAAGGAUUAUUUUGAUAGAAUAAAUAAUGUAUAUUUACCUUCAUUA
This 62-nucleotide transfer RNA is filed under the name Stegobium paniceum (drugstore beetle). RNAcentral describes it as "tRNA-Ile". The record is from RNAcentral. Lineage: Eukaryota; Metazoa; Arthropoda; Insecta; Coleoptera; Ptinidae.